UAGAGUUUGAUCCUGGCUCAGAUUGAACGCUGGCGGUAUGCUUUACACAUGCAAGUCGAACGGAUUUGGAGCUUGCUUCAUAGUUAGUGGCGAACGGGUGAGUAAUAUAUCGGAACAUAUCCGGAAGUGGGGGAUAACGUAGCGAAAGUUACGCUAAUACCGCAUAUGCCCGAGGGGGAAAGGGGGGGAUGCAAGACCUCUCGCUUUGGGUGGCCGAUUCGGAUUAGCUAGUAGGUGAGGUAAAGGCUCACCUAGGCGACGAUCCGUAGCGGUCUGAGAGGACGACCGCCACACUGGAACUGAGACACGGUCCAGACUCCUACGGGAGGCAGCAGUGGGGAAUUUUGGACAAUGGGCGAAAGCCUGAUCCAGCCAUACCGCGUGAGUGAAGAAGGCCUUCGGGUUGUAAAGCUCUUUCAGCCGGAAAGAAAUCGUACUAUUAAUACUAGGUGCGGAUGACGGUACCGGAAGAAGAAGCACCGGCUAACUCGUGCCAGCAGCCGCGGUAA
Molecule: ribosomal RNA, 509 nt
Filed under: uncultured Ferribacterium sp.
Lineage: Bacteria; Pseudomonadati; Pseudomonadota; Betaproteobacteria; Rhodocyclales; Azonexaceae
Description: bacterial SSU rRNA
Rfam family: Bacterial small subunit ribosomal RNA
Source: RNAcentral